Oncorhynchus tshawytscha (Chinook salmon) is the source of this 1059-nucleotide long non-coding RNA. NCBI's taxonomy places the organism in Eukaryota, Metazoa, Chordata, Actinopteri, Salmoniformes, Salmonidae. The record is from Ensembl.
GAGGAGAGAGGGACUGGGUCUGUGCUGGGAGGAGAGAGGGACUGGGUCUGUGCUGGGAGGAGAGAGGGACUGGGGCUGUGCUGGGAGGAGAGAGAGACUGGGUCUGGGAGGAGAGAAGGACUGGAGCUGUGUUUGGAGGAGAGAGGGACUGGAGCUGUGCUGGGAGGAGAGAGGGACUGGAGCUGUGCUGGGAGGAGAGAGGGACUGGGGCUGUGCCGGUGAGGAGAGAAGGACUGGGGCUGUGCUGGGAGGAGAGAGGGACUGGAGCUUGGAGGAGAGAGGGACUGGGUCUGUGUUUGGAGGAGAGAGGGACUGGAGCUGUGCUGGGAGGAGAGAGGGACUGGGGCUGUGCUGGGAGGAGAGAGGGACUGGGGUUGUGCUUGGAGGAGAGAGGGACUGGGGCUGUGCUGGGAGGAGAGAGGGACUGGAGCUGUGCUGGGAGGGGAGAGGGACUGGAGCUGUGCUGGGAGGAGAGAGGGACUGGGGCUGUGCUGGGAGGAGAGAGGGACUGGGGCUGUGCUGGGAGGAGAGAGGGACUGGAGCUGUGCUGGGAGGAGAGAAGGACUUGGUCUGGGAGGAGAGAGGGACUGGGUCUGUUCUGGGAGGAGAGAGGGACUGGGGCUGUGCUGGGAGGAGAGAGGGACUGGAGCUGUGCUGGGAGGAGGGGAGGACUGGGGCUGUGCUGGGAGGAGAAAGGGACUGGAGCUGUGCUGGGAGGAGAGGGGGAGGACUGGGCUGUGCUGGGAGGAGAGAGGGACUGGGGCUGUGCUGGGAGAGGGGAGGACUGGGGCUGUGCUGGGAUGAGAGAGGGACUGGGGCUGUGCUGGGAGGAGAGAGGACUGGGUCUGGAAGGAGAGAGAGACUGGGUCUGGGAGGAGAGAGGGACUGGGUCUGUGCUGGGAGGAGAGAGGGACUGUUCUGGGAGGAGAGAGGGACUGGGUCUGUGCUGGGCGGAGAGAGGGACUGGGGCUGGGAGGAGAGAGGGACUGGGUCUGUGCUGGGAGGAGAGAGGGACUGGGUCUGUGCUGGGAGGAGAGAGGGACUGUUCUGGGAGGAGAG